GAGGGGGGUUGUCAAACCAUCAAAAGUAAGAGUUAGGCUUUGAAUUGUUUAUUUAGGCCAGUGUAUUACAUAACUUCACAGUCUGUACUAAAUCAGCUUCAAAGGCCAAGCCAUGUUCAUGGUUGUGUAAUAUCAUUAGGGCCCAUAAUGGAUGCAGAGUGGGUGAUCAAUGGAGUGUAAACAUGAGUAAAGCUUUUGUCCUUUACAAGGUUGAAACCUUAAUCCAUGUUUUGAAAUGUUGUUGGUGAUAUCUUUUAGUAUAGAGUUUGUUAUUGCAAGGACAUAUCCUGAAUGGAUAUUUAUUUACUAACAUGGCUAUGGUUACAUUGCAGUUUUUUGGAGGGUGAGAACAUAUAGUGGCCCUCUGCAUUUUAGCAUUUCCAAUAAUUAUCUCCUUUUCUGUUUGAUCAUAUUAUGAAUUGGUUUUGGCUGGAAACUUUUUCACUUCAUACUUUGACAUGCAGCACUAUAUGUUGGGUGAUGGGAAGGGAAUUGAGAGUGUGGAAAAAAUUGAAGUUAAGAUCCCAGUAGAUUCGGCUUCUGAGAAUGUUGUAACUGAGAAGAUCGAGGAAACACCUGCUGUUACAAAAGAAGCCACAGAAGCUGCUCCGACUGCAGCUGAAGAAAUUAUUGAGGUCACCUCUGCUGCAAGUCAGGAAGCUACUCCUGCUGCCAAAGACAUCAGUGAAGCUACCCCAGAUGCUGCUGAAGAAAGCAGCAACAAUGUUGAAGAGGAAAACUCGGGUGAUCAAGAAGUUGAACACACAUCGGAAAUAAAAGUCAGUAUGAAUAAAUAAUUUAUCCUUCAAACUUCUUGACUGCAUGUGCCAGCUCCUUCGCCUAAUGUUCCUGCUGUUCUUGCUUCAUCUUUUGAUUUCCUGUUUGUUCUAUUGUGUACUGUUACUGGAUUUCAGCUUGAGACAGCACCAGCAGAUUUCCGUUUCCCGAGUACCAACCAAACAAGGCAUUGCUUUACCCGUUACAUUGAAUAUCAUCGGUAAGUCAAAGUGUUUUUGUGAUUUCCUUUCUCUUAAACUUCACUCCCCGCAUUUAUUAAUUAGACAAAUUUUCUUUGUACUUAUCUGUUCAGGUGCACUGCAGUAAAGGGGGAAGGGGCUUCUGAGUGUGAUAAGUUUGCAAAAUUUUAUCGUUCUCUUUGUCCUGCUGAAUGGGUACGUAUAUUCAUGCUUUUGCAUGUUAAUAGAACCAUACAUGCUUUCUUCUUAGCCUCUUAGGAAAUUUUAUAAUUGUAUCCAUGGCAUUAGCUAUAUUUCUUGUUCAUUUUUCUGCCCAAAGGGAAGGUAUAUUAAAUUACUAAAUGCUUGUUUGGAUACACUUCAUAUGUUUUUUAAAUAGUAAAUAGUAAUUACUACUAUAUAAAAUAUAAUAACUCUUAUAUAAAAAGUAUGAACUUAUGUCCUAUCUUUUAAAAUUCGAGGUAGUAAAAUUUUUUUAAUACUUUAAUUUUUAAACAAUUUUUAAAAGUCAUUGUCUUUUUAAGGUAUUUCUUAAAGGUUGUGAUAUUCCACAUCGGAUUGGGAAAAUUGUUUUUGUUGCUAUAUAUGUAUGAGCUCCUCUUAACUAUGUGGACACGUUUUAAAUUCAUGAGGAUCCUUUGAGCCUAAAGUGGAUGAUAUCUACAUGGUUGGGAGCGAAUUGUUACAAAUGGUUACAAAGUUGAUUCCCGACCUCGGUGUGGGAGUUUGUUUGACCCCAUAAGGGAUGCGUGUUUGUUUUGCCUUGAAAUCCUAUGGGAUACAACGUGGACUUUAUGUCUGCAUAGAAGGGUGAUUGUGAUAUUCCACAUCCGAUGAGGUAAAAAGUUCAUGACUCUACAUAUGUAAAAACUCCUUUUGACUAUGUUGACACAUUUUAAAUUGUGAGGGUCCUUUGCGCUUAAAGCAAAUAAUAUCUACACAGUUGGACAUGAAUCGUUACAAAGAGUUCUUACAUUUUAUAUAGGAGUUAAUGUCAUUUUCUGUUUUCAAAAAUGGAAAACAAGAAGCGUAUCCAAACAACAACUAAAUUACUAAAAUUUUAUAGAGUUUAGAAGGGAAUUGUUUAUUGAAUGCUCAAAAUUAACACUUGAAGGAAAUGAUAAUGUGAUUCUUCUUGCAUCCCACUAUAUUAGCUUUUUAUCAGAUACAUUGCUGAUCGAUUUAAACUGCACACUGUUGCUAAAUGCACUUUCUAAACAACCCAUUAUGGACAAGGAUGAGGGAUGGUCGAACUCUAGUUGUAGUUAUGAAAACAUCUAACUGUAACCAUAUGUUAACAUGAUCAUUGGUUCAAUUGUAUAUGCAUAUGUGAACUGAAUUUUUGAUGGAAAAUCAUGUGCCUAAUUGAUGUAUAAUUCUCAAAAUUAAGUCAUCUUUUAGGUGAUUUGCUUUCAUAACUAUUGUAGUUUGAAAUGCAUGAAGUUUUCUAAUUGCAUUUCAGUUUUAAAAAAGUAAUUCUCAAGUCACUCAUGUUUUAGUUUACAAAAUCUCAGGUGUGGAGAUUUUCUACUUCUUACCUUGGUUUGCCUCUUAGGGCACUUCAUAACUCCUCUGUUGUGUGGGAUGCACUAGAGGAGAGAGAUAAAAGGAGAUUGAUUUCUUGGAAAAAAUAGUACUUAUUCGAAGGAGGAAGAUUAGUCCUUCUGUAGAGUACUCUUGAGUCUCCCAAUCUAUUUUAUGUCUUUCUUUGCAAUCCCUGGAAAAGUGAGGAUUUGAUUAGAGAAAAUUUAAAUAGACUUUUUUAUAGGGUGAUCUUGGGAAUAAGCAUGUAAAAAACUGUUCAAGUGUGCAAUCCUAUUUUGUAGUCUUAAUCUUAACAUAAAAAAGGCUUCUCAUCAUUGCUUUGACCACUCAUUCCUUGCCAACUACCUCCAGGAAAAGACUUGCAUCAUGCCUUUUGACUCACAUAAAUCCAUGAUUUGUAGUAGCUCCAAAUUUUGAACACUAUGUGCAGUGGAGCAUUGUGGAUGUUCUAGUGGGUACCUUGGAGGUGGAGCACAUCUAAUAGCUUGUUUGGGAUAGCUUCCUAUUUUUUAUUUUAGUUGGGAGUUGAGGCUAAGGUCACAAUUUUUAAAAGGGCAAUAUUGGUAUUGUAAAAUUUUAUUAUUAAAAUAAAGCUUCUAUAAGAAGCAACAUUUUUUUGACUUUUAUAUUAAAUUGUUUUUUAAGCCAUAAGCUCUUUGAACAAAAUUAGCCAAACAAGCAUAGAAGCUUUUAUUGCACUUAAAAAAGAGCUUUUAAUUUCUCAAAAGUUAUCCUAAACAAGACCUAAUAUUCUUUACAUUAGGUAAGUUAACUAUUUUUAAAUAAAACUUUAGUAAGGACAAGCAAAUAGCUGCACUAAAGAGAGGAGGCAAUUCGCUUGUCAAAAAACAUAGAUAAACUAGAAUAUCCAAGGAAGAGAAAACAAAAUUCAAAGAGGAGAUGCUUCCAACAAAAACUAAAUUGGAGGCCACACCCUACCUAGGAAUCUUCAUGAGUUGGCUGUUUUUGGGAAGAGAUGUUGCAUAUAAGGAGGUUUACAAGUGAAACAUUUUAUUUCAAUUGAAGAGAGGUUUCAUAAAAGGCUAUCGGUGUGGAAAAGAUAAUAUAUUUUUAUGGAGGGGACACUUGCAUUGAUUAGAAGUAUCUUGUCCAAUCUACCAAUCUAUUAGAUGUCCUUGCUUGUAAUCCCUAGAAAGGCCAAGUUGAUGUUAGAGAAGAUUUAAAAGGAUUUUCUCUGUGGACAUGAGACUCUGGAGAAAAAGCCUCAUUUAGUAAGAUGGUUUGUUGUUUGCAUGGAUAUGAAGAAUGGGAGAUUGGGUUGUACAAGUCUCUUUCUUCUAAAUCGAACUCUCCUUGGUAAGUGGAGUCGGGGAUAUGUUUCUAAAGGGGAUGGUUUUUGGAAGCAAAUUAUAAAGGGAAAGUAUGGGAAGGAGGAAGUGUGUUUGAUACUCUUGCAUGGUGAGAGAUGGUUACGGUGUUGGAGUAUGAAAAGCUAUAAGGAAGGAGUCUGAUAUUUUCGUUACUAGAACCAACCUCCUUUGAAGUAUAUAAUGGUAGGAGGGUUGAGUUUUGGAAGGACAAAUGGUGUGGAAAAAAGCCCUUGUGUAUUUCCUUCCUCUCCUUGUAUGCGAUGAUUGUCUCAGGAGGUUUGGGUGGCUGAUUUAUGGGAAGAUUCAGAAAUGCGGGAUCAUUAGAAUUUGUGCUUUUGUAGGCACUACAAUGAUUGGGAGCUGGACAUUGUUGAGACUUUCUUCUCUAGAUUGCUAGUGAAGUUAGUUAGGAGGAAAGAGAAUGAUAGGAUGAUCCGAAAGGAUUCUUAAAAGGGUGUGCUUUUGGUAAAGUCUUUCUAUUUGGUCUUGGAACUCGAGAGGUCAAUCCCCUUUCAAACAGAUGUCAUUUGUAAUCUGUGAGUCCCAUCCAAAGCGAGUUUUUUUGCUUGGGAAACUAGUUUUUGUGAAAGGGGGGGGGGGGGGGGGGGGGUUGUUUGACAUCAAAUCAGCUUUAGAAAAGAUGGUGGCCGCUAGUGAAUAGAUGUUUUCUUUGUAAAUUUGAGGGGGGACCUAUUGAUCAUAUUCUACUUCACUGUAUCAAGGCAAAGAUUCCAUAACAUUUUUUGUUCUCCUUAAUCGAUGUAGUUUAGGUGAUCCCUUCUUUGUUGAAAGAAACUCUGUUAAGUUGGUAUGAUUCCUUUGUAGGGAGGAAAAGAAAGAAGGCAUGGAGAGCACUCCUCUCUGCAUUUUUUGAACAAUUUUUUUGGGUACGAAAUUGAAGAGAAUUUGAAAAUGAGGAAAAGACUACUCAAAAGUUAAAACUUUCAUUCCGUUGCAAUCCCUCAGCUUGGGUUAGCAUGUCCUUAAGAAAAGACUCGAUGCCUUUGAUUGAUUUUGUACAUUGGGUGAGGUUUUUUGGUGGCUUCUUUUUUGAGGCCAUUCUUUUAGGUGCCUCUUGUACAAGUCCUAUGUACUUUGGGCUACUUUUUUGUUAUUAUAUGUUUUUUCAGUUAGGUCAUUGAUUAUUCCAGAAAGAACUGCUGGAAGCAUUAUUCCCUCAGCUUAUUAGAUUCACCUUGUGACCUGCCAAUGAUCCUCGAUUAGGUUCUUAUAUCCCAAAUAACUGACAGAAGCAUCGUUCUUUAGCUUGUUAGACUCACCUAGUGACCUGCCAAUGAUCCUAGAGAAGCCAUUCAAGUUUGGCCUCAUCAAAAUCUUAAGAGCACCAGAAACCAUAUGGUCAGGCAGAAGUAAAAUCUUCUGAACCCGAAUGAUCAUGAAGCAAUAGUUGUUUAUCUUGUAUAACAUUGGCUCGAUGAUCUAAUUGCAUGAACAUAUUUAUCCAAAAAAUCUCAGUAUCUCACAGCAGCUGGGUACUGAAGAGAAACCAAAAAUGACACAUUUGAAAAAACUAUUGAAAGCCAAUAUUGCAUACUAUGAAGAAUUACAGUAUUAUUUUAAGCCUAAAUCAUUUGAUACUUCUACUUCUCUAUCUCCUUGUAUCCGGAACUUCAUAAUAGGGAACAGGGGAACUAUUGUCAUGUCCCUAAAAGUGAUGAUUGAUGAAAACAUUUGUGUUCUUUGUAAUAGAGUAUGGCUCGCACAUGUAAGAUAAAGGGUCAAUUCUGAUAUAUGGCCAAUCUCCUGAAAUUUGGAACUGCAUUAAUUCUACUCCAGGUGAAGCAAAAUUUGACACAAUGUUCUUAUGGAGUUCUCACAUGGGAACCCGUGAAUCAUGAUCAUGAACUAUAAAUCUUUCUUCUUUAUGUAGAUUAUAUUUUCAUGUUUGAGAUUGCAGACAAUUUCUAUAUAUUUUUUUCAUUCAACUUAGCUCUUUAAGAGUUGCCAUCUAAGCUGACUUUUUUCAACUGUUUUUUGGUUGCAGGUAGAGAGAUGGAAUGAACAAAGGGAGAAUGGCACCUUUCCAGGUCCUCUGUAGAUGGUGCCCUUUCUAAAAAAAAUCCAAAUCCUGUUUCUUUCUUGCCAUUUUAAUAUUCAAGUUGCUCCUGAUUCCGCCAGAUGAAUUUCCUGGUAUAGAAUGGAACAGGACGAGGGAAACUGCUACCUGAAUGAUUCAAGUUAAUAAAAUUUUUGGCUAGGUCUGUUGGAGCUAUUUGUAAUUUGAUGUCUCUUUCUUCCAAUCUUUGAUGCUUCCAGCUGUUUUGGAACAGCAAGAGGUCCUGAAUGUAACCGAAUAAAACUUGAGCAGUUAAAUAUGCUGAUAUAACUUGCUUUCUUGCAUAAGGCACUUUUAUUGUCUUUCAUCAGAUUGCUUCUUCCUCUUUGACAUGCAACCAAUACAGGAAACAAAGCUUUCUAAGUGUGCUAAGGCUUUAUCUAGAAUCGGCUUUUGCCCUUUAUCCUGCUGCAACUGGUUAGUCUUCUACUAAUAUAAAUAGUAAAAGAAAGGCCUGGUUUGAAAAGAGGUGAAGAAGAGGGAGACCCCAAUCCCCAGCAAGGACAGACAUCCUGUGAGAACACCUAUUACGACUAGACUUAACUUGAAGGGCCUACCUUGAUUAGCCUUCCUGGAGCAAAUCAAACUUAUUUUUUGUACUCUAGCUAUAAGGGACAAGAAAGCUACUCUUUUGAGGGGUACCCCCAAUGGAUCGAAGAUAACGGGCUAAUAACACUCAAAUGCUUGCUCUCAGUACUUAUGAUUUAUAGGUUUUAGAGUGGGCUAUUCCUUAUGUGAAAUUAUAAUAGGUAAUGUCCCUGAUAUAUAUAGGAUUAGUUGUAAUUGAUAAAUUAGGUUUUUUUAUGGGUAAAUUUAUUUAUUUUAAAUUUUUGUGGAAUUUUUAUAGAAUGUUUUAUUAAAAUGAUAAAAUUAUAUCCCUCAAUUCCAUUCACUCUUUUUUUGUACCCUUAAAAAAAUUAUUUUGGACAAAAAUGCCCUCAGGUUAAAUAAUCAAAAUAUGGGAGAAAAUGGCUUACUUUUUAAGUUAAAAAUCGGAAGUGAGAAGGAGAGAGCAGGAGAGGCAGAGCGAGAGAGCGCCCCUCUGGAGUCGACCUUUGGAGUGCGCGACGACGGAGAUUUUGCCCUUUUUACUUCUGGUAAUCUCUCUUUUUUUUUCUCAGGUUCCGAUUUCUGCUCCGUUGAUGGAGUUGUUUUCUUUCUAAAUUGGAUUUUUAUGGGAGGUCCUUUAGGGCUCGGGUUUGAAUUUUUGGCUUCUUUGGAUCUGGGUUGUGUUCUGGUGGUGUAUUUCACGAGGGUGGGGGAUUUGAGGAAGAGUGCGAACAAAAUCUGAAAUCCACCCUGGAUGGAUUGGAUUUUGUGGUUUUGAUUAUUUCUCGUUGAUUUGGUUAGAAAUUUGAAGACACAGGUUGAAUAAAACUUGGGAAUUCGGAUUUUUGGGGCUUUAAUUUCAUCUUUUAUAAUUUUGUUUUUAGGAGUGCAUUUUGAUAUUUUUGGAUCUGGCUUGUGUUUGGUUCAUGAGGUGGGGCAAAGCAGGAAGAAAAGUGAAAUAAAACCAGGGACUUUAGUGAUUUGAUUUCAUCUCCCAUUGAUUUGGUUUAGGGUUGGGGUUUGAUUUAUAAGGUAUUUGAUUUGAUUUGUGGUUAGGAAUGUAUGUUUUGAGGAUGGAUUUCUGAAUAAUGUAAGAAAAUUGAAUUAGAUUUCCUCAUUAGUUUCUGAAAAUUUAAUUUUCUUGAGACUUUUUUCUUUAAUUUGUACAAUUUGUUUAAGAAAAUUUAGUAUUGCCCUUUUCUUUCAAUGACACUUGCAUUUGAGCCAAAAUGGGUGUGAUGCAUCCGAAUCUUGAAUUUGAUUCCCUUGAUAUUAGUUUCUGAAGUUUGAUGUUCUGUUUUAUUUAAUAUGCUUUUAGUUUUCUUGGCAUUGGUUUCUGAAAUUUGAACUUCUUUAGAUGUUUUCUUUCAUUUUACUAUUUUUUUAUGAGCAAAGUUUAAAAUGUUGCUUGGGGAAUAACUUUGGCUGAAGAUCCUGGAGUGCUUUUUACUUAAGAACAUAGGAUUACACUAAUUGAUUUCAAUAUUUUGAUUUCUUUCUUAUACUUUUUUACAAUCUAGUUAGUUCUUGAAUAAUUGACAAAAUAAAAUAAAAUAAAUAAAUAAAAGAAAAAAACGAAAAAGAGGAGAGUUUGGAAUAUAGUUUUUAUUUCUUUCUAUUGAUAUUAGAUUUUAAAAUUUGGUAUCCAUUAGACAGUGUCUAAUUUGAAUUAUUUCUUUAUAAAUUGUGUUUCCAAUUUUGUUCUAGGGAAAUCAAGGUUUAUGAUUUAUAGGUUUUAGAGUUUAGAGCUUAGAGUUUAAGCCAUAAGGUUUAUAGGUUUUAGGGUUUAGAUUAUCUAUUUGUUAGAAUAUGUGUUAUUCCUUUGUAUCUUUAUGAAAAUUGAGUUGUCAUUUUGUUUUCACAAAAGUUUUGUAUAAUUGGUGCUUGUGGUUGGAUCUAAUUUGAAGUUACAAGUGUUUGUUCUUUUGAUCACAAGCACUACAAUAGUUUGUUUCUCUUUAUUUUUUUAACCUUGGUCCUUGAAUAAGGUUUUCCUUUGAAUAAGGUAUUUUGUUUACCUAUUAAAUUUUAAAAAAACAUCUUGUAAAUGAAUCUUUUUAUACCCCAUGACAUUUUAAAAUUAGUCCUAUAUAUUACAAACAUUCUUUCUCAUCUUUUUGAAUUUUAAGAAAUGGUGGUGAUUGAAAAUUUCCCUUUGUGGUGAUGGAUCUUUCCCUUGUAUGUAUAUUUGGUUUUUGUUUUUGUUUUGAUGGUUGGCUCAAGAAGAGGGUUUAUUUUAAAGGAGAAACUAUUAUCUUCAAAAUGUUAUGAUUAUAACUUCAUGUUAGGAAGAGGUAUGUAAUGCUAGUGCUAUUUAUCUUAUUGUAAAACAUUAUUAACAUGGUGUGGUCUUCUUAUGGUCAAUAAUUUCUGUUUUGAUGGUUGGGAUCAAGAAGAGAGUUUGUUUGAAGAUAAUAUUUUAUCCCUCUUCAUGAUCCCGACCAUCAAAAUAGAAAAAAGGAGGCCAAAAAGAUUGAAACUAAAAUAUGGUUGAUGUGCUUGUGACUCUAAGGAGCAAAAUUGCAUAUGCAUUUCUAGCACUUGAAUCUUGGAUUUAGGUGUAUCAAAUCAUAUAGUUUUUCAAAAUUAUUUUCCAUUUACUUCACACUUUCAAAAACAAAAAAAUAAAGAUUGUUGAUGGAUCUUUUUCCUUUAUAAUUGAUCAACGCACAAUCAAAAUCAACCCUACUUUGUCUCUAAAAUCCAUGUUGGGCGUUCCUGAUCUUUCCUAUAGCCUUUUGUCUAUAGGAAAAAUCACUAAAGAUUUGAGGAGUUCAGUUAUAUUCACUUCUUUUGAUUGCAUUUUUCACGACUUCGUAAUGAGUAUGAUUGGACAUGCGAAGGAAAAAAAUGGAUUGUAGUACCAAGAUGCUAAUUGGAAGACUGGUGUUUUAAGGUCUCCAGGCUUGGUCUCUAUCUCUUCUCCAAAACUUGUCUAAUUUGGCUUUGGCAUAGUCUUCUAGGAGAUCCUUCAUUUUGAUUAUUGAAAAAAGUGUUCCCAUCUUUGUCUGAAAACAUUAAUUGCCUUGAUUUUCAUUGGGAAGUGUGUGUUCUUGCUAAGCACCACCUUUACUCAUUUCCAGUAAAAAAUCCUAAACGUCUCUCUCCAUUUUGUUUGAUGCAUUCAGAUGUUUGAGGUUCUUCUCGUGUUACAAAUAAUUUAAAUUUUUGAUGAUAUAUUAUAUUUAUCGAUGAUUGUACUUGUUCCACUUGUGUUUAUCUCUUGAAAUCAAAAUCUGAAGUCUCCACUAUCUUUCCUAUUUCUCAUAAAUUCAUGAGUACACAAUUGGGAGUCAAAAUAUGUGCACUCAAAUCUGACAAUCGGCAAAAAUACUUUAAUAAUGACCUGAUUGCAUGACUCCACUGUUGUGACCAACCCCUCACAUUUCUCUCUUUUGUACUUGGUCGCCUCUCUGCAGUUGAAGAACUUAACAUCAAUGGCUUCAGCCGAUGUUGGACAAAAUGUCAGUCUGCAUGAGGUACUGAUUCUUUUUCCAUGAUUUCAAAUGUUUAUGCACAAUCAGUCUCUGUUUCUUUUAUUUCUUCAAGUUUGCUGGAUUUUCAUUGAGAUAUAUUGGUAAAUUGGGUCUAUUCUGUGAAAUUUGUGUUGACACGAGUUUCAAUCUUUUGUGUUCUCCUCCUUGACUUUGAUUUGAGUGGAUAUGCUGUCGAAGAGGGGAAAUAAGAUAUCAGUGAGUAAUUUGUUCUAAUGUUGAUGAUGCGGGUUGGGUGGAUUUUUAUUUAUUUGUUAUUUUUGGAGUUAUUUUGGAACAAUAAUGAAGAUCCGAAUUUACAAGUUUUGGUAUCGUUUAUUUAAAACCCUAAUGAAUACUAAUUUUUGUUAUGAAAUAUUGUAACAGUUGGACAUGGAAUAGACAUAGUUCUUGUGCUGUGAAGAAGUUGAACUUUUUUGAAUGCUUUUUUUUUUUGGAUUAGUAUGGCAUCCAACCACCAUCAUUUGGGUGACCCAUCCCGGGCUCACCCCCAACAUUUUAUUUAUCCAAAAUGACCUGAUUUUGAUACCUAUAAAACAAUGAUGAGUUUUUGUUUUCACCACCCAAGCCUAUGUUGUCUGGUAACAUUAAAAACUAUGCAGGUAGUUGCUGAAAAAUCAUGGGGGAUAAUUUUAUUUUUUAUUUUUAUAAAUUUGCUUCUUAUAAUCACCAUGGGUUCAAUUCACAAUUGUCAUUUGAGUUUGUAUGAAAGUGCUAAUAACUGCAUCAGGGCAGCCUUUCUACUUAUUUCUGGUUAAUUUGAUCCAAAGAAAUUGUUCUUUGGUCAUUGACUGUGUUUUCUGUUCUCUAACCAAACUACGAUCAAGAGACUUCUCCCUAGACUUGGACAAUGCGCAUUAAUAGUUAGAAACUGUAUUGCAUCUGAAAACAGGUCUUCCAGACAACUAGAUGGGUGAAAUAAAAAAUUAAGGGAUUGUGUCCCAUAGUGGGCUUGGUUUCUUUUUUCAAAUUUUCUGAAAUAGGAUCCCCAACAAACUGUAAACGAUGAAUUGUAUGUAAAUAACUUGCAAGAGAAUGGAAAGGAAGUGUGUGCACGACAAGGAAGGCAAGGGAGGAGGAGGGGGGGUGUUCAAACCAUCAAAAGUAAGAGUUAGGCUUUGGGUUGUUUCAUUAGGCCAGCGGAUUACAUAACUUCACAGUCUACUAAAAUCAGCUUCAAAGGCCAAGCCAUGUUCAUAGUUGUGGUGUAAUAUCAUUAGGGCCCGUAAUGGAUGCAGAGUGGGUGAUCAAUGGAGUGUAAACAUGAGUAAAGCUUUUGUCCUUUACAGGGUUGAAGCCUUAAUGCAUGUUUUGAAAUGUUGUUGGUGAUAUCUUUUAGUAUAGAGUUUGUUAUUGCAAGGACAUAUCCUGAAUGGAUAUUUCUUUACUAACAUGGUUAUGGUUACAUUGCAGUUUUUUGGAGGAUGAGAACAUAUAGUGGCCCUCUGCAUUUUAGCAUUUCCAAUAAUUAUCUCCUUUGCUGUUUGAUCAUAUUAUGAAUUGGUUUUGGCUGGAAACUUUUUCAUAACAUACUUUGACAUGCAGCACUAUAUGUUGGGCGAUGGGAAAGGAAUCGAGAGUGUGGAAAAAAGUGAAGUUAAGAUCCUAGUAGAUUCGGCUUCUGAGAAUGUUGUAACUGAGAAGACCGAGGAAACACCUGCUGUUACAAAAGAAGCCACAGAAGCUGCUCCGACUGCAGCUGAAGAAAUUAUUGAGGUCACCUCUGCUGCAAGUCAUGAAGCUACUCCUGCUGCCAAAGACAUCAGUGAAGCUACCCCAGAUGCUGCUGAAGAAAGCAGCAACAAUGUUGAAGAGGAAAACUCGGGUGAUCUAGAAGUUGAACACACAUCGGAAAUAAAA
RNAcentral lists this long non-coding RNA (11833 nucleotides) under Vitis vinifera (wine grape). RNAcentral's name for it is "long non-coding RNA (VVIN_LNC004016)". The record is from RNAcentral. Lineage: Eukaryota; Viridiplantae; Streptophyta; Magnoliopsida; Vitales; Vitaceae.